UAGGGAAUAUUGGACAAUGGGGGAAACCCUGAUCCAGCGACGCCGCGUGAGGGAUGAAGGCCUUCGGGUUGUAAACCUCUGUUGUUAGGAAAGAAGCCGGGUGCAUAACCCGGUGACGGUACCUAACGAGGAAGCCCCGGCUAACUACGUGCCAGCAGCCGCGGUGAGACGUAGGGGGCAAGCGUUGUCCGGAAUCACUGGGCGUAAAGGGCGCGUAGGCGGUUACUCAAGUCCGAUGUGAAAAGUCACGGCUCAACUGUGAUCGUGCAUCGGAUACUGGGUUGACUUGAGGUCGGUAGAGGCAAGUGGAACUAGCGGUGUAGCGGUGAAAUGCACAGAUAUCGCUAGGAACGCCGGUGGCGAAGGCGACUUGCUGGGCCGCACCUGACGCUGAGGCGCGAAAGCUAGGGGAGCGAACCGG
RNAcentral lists this ribosomal RNA (421 nucleotides) under uncultured bacterium. Its description in RNAcentral is "bacterial SSU rRNA". It matches the Rfam family "Bacterial small subunit ribosomal RNA", at positions 355 to 776 of the family's 1533-position model. The record is from RNAcentral.